Molecule: ribosomal RNA, 496 nt
Filed under: uncultured bacterium
Lineage: Bacteria
Description: partial 16S ribosomal RNA
Rfam family: Bacterial small subunit ribosomal RNA
Source: RNAcentral
AUGCACGCUGGCGGCGUGCCUCAUACAUGCAAGUCGCGCGCACAGACGAGGAGCUUGCUCCUCUGACGUUAGCGGCGGACGGGUGAGUAACACGUGGAUAACCUACCUAUAAGACUGGGAUAACUUCGGGAAGCCGGAGCUAAUACCGGAUAAUAUAUUGAACCGCAUGGUUCAAUAGUGAAAGACGGUUUUGCUGUCACUUAUAGAUGGAUCCGCGCCGCAUUAGCUAGUUGGUAAGGUAACGGCUUACCAAGGCAACGAUGCGUAGCCGACCUGAGAGGGUGAUCGGCCACACUGGAACUGAGACACGGUCCAGACUCCUACGGGAGGCAGCAGUAGGGAAUCUUCCGCAAUGGGCGAAAGCCUGACGGAGCAACGCCGCGUGAGUGAUGAAGGUCUUCGGAUCGUAAAACUCUGUUAUUAGGGAAGAACAAAUGUGUAAGUAACUAUGCACGUCUUGACGGUACCUAAUCAGAAAGCCACGGCUAACUACGUG